Molecule: ribosomal RNA, 270 nt
Filed under: uncultured bacterium
Lineage: Bacteria
Description: partial 16S ribosomal RNA
Rfam family: Bacterial small subunit ribosomal RNA
Source: RNAcentral
AAUCAACGCUGGCGGCGUGCCUAACACAUGCAAGUCGAACGAGAAAGGGGAGCAAUCCCUGAGUACAGUGGCGACCGGGUGAGUAACACGUGACUACCUACCCUUGAGUGGGGGAUAACCCCGGGAAACCGGGGCUAAUACCGCAUAAUAUCGAAAGAUCAAAGGAGAAAUCCGCUUUUGGAGGGGGUCGCGGCUGAUUAGCUAGUUGGUGAGGUAAUGGCUCACCAAGGCGAAGAUCGGUAUCCGGCCUGAGAGGGCGCACGGACACAC